RNAcentral lists this unclassified non-coding RNA (569 nucleotides) under Bombus terrestris (buff-tailed bumblebee). RNAcentral describes it as "misc RNA ENSBTSG00005027265.1". Lineage: Eukaryota; Metazoa; Arthropoda; Insecta; Hymenoptera; Apidae. The record is from RNAcentral.
AAGUCAGAUCAAUAUGAAAUAAGAACUUUGAAAGCAAAGGUUGCAAAUACAUUGGUGACAAGGUUUAUCUCGUCUAAUAUUCAUGUAACAACCUUAAACAUUAUCAGUCUACAAAGUUAUACUAAAAUUUGCUUACAUAAAUGUAUUUAAAUACAUUUGUCAUAACAAUAUCAGCAGUGUAGUCAUGCAUUCACACAAACGAUGCAUGUAAUAUGUACAUCAUUCUAUGCUUAAAAAUUCAUUAUUUUCACGCUGCAUUCAUACCACGCAGGGAUUUUUGUGUUUGCCUAACCCUAUCUGAUUCAAUUCUACACAGUUAUUCACUGAUUCUUCAAUUACUUUUAAAUCACAAAACAGGCUAAUCUUUAACACUGUUUGCCAUUCUGUACUACCUCAAGAUGUAUCUCCAUAACUGUUAUAAAUUUCUGUGUCUUUCAAAGUGACUUUGUGAUAUUAUUAAAUAAUCGUUUACCCCACCAUGAUUCCAAAUCAAAUGGUUUAAAAUCUGAAAUAGUAUAUUUAUUUUAAUCUAUUUCAAUUAUAUAUAGUUUUUUUUAAAAGAGAAAAAU